This 18-nucleotide ribosomal RNA is filed under the name Pamphorichthys hollandi. RNAcentral describes it as "partial 16S ribosomal RNA". Lineage: Eukaryota; Metazoa; Chordata; Actinopteri; Cyprinodontiformes; Poeciliidae. The record is from RNAcentral.
ACUUAAAAGCUAGCCUCU